UCCCAGAGGUCCAAGUCGCAGCCACAAUUAUUGGGUCUAAAACAUCCGUAGCUUGCUUUGUAAGUCUCUUGUGAAAUCUGGCCUCUUAAGGGUCGGUCGGGCAAGAGAUACUGCGAAGCUAGAGACCGGGAGGCGUAUGGAGUACACACAGGGUAGCGGUAAAAUGCGUUGAUCCUGUGUGGACUAACAAUCGCGAAGGCACCGUACGAGAACGGAUCUGACAGUGAGGGAUGAAGGCUAGGGGCGCAAAGUG
This 253-nucleotide ribosomal RNA is filed under the name uncultured archaeon. Its description in RNAcentral is "partial 16S ribosomal RNA". It matches the Rfam family "Archaeal small subunit ribosomal RNA", at positions 474 to 726 of the family's 1478-position model. The record is from RNAcentral.